GGGUUUAAUACCUGUUUGUUUCAUUUUUUUGUGUCUUUUAUUUUUUUAUCUUUUUUUAAAUUCUGGGUAUUUUAAUACCCUUUCAAAAGAAUCGGAUCACACAGAACAGGCACAACGACUCUCUGUUUUCUCCUUCACACCAUAGUCAAGAAACCCUCACCUUCUCCGCUUCCGGCCUCCCUUCUCCUCCGCCUCAGGCCUUCUCCUCCGGCUAUCCGCCUCCACUGGCCAAAUUAUGCAAGAAUCAUUGAAAAGAAAGUUUCAUGGGAUCCCGCCGAAUGAAAACCAAUUUUGUCUAAUGAUGUUAACCAAAGAGAUGAAAUUAGACGGGCGUAUUUGAAUAAAGAUCCAUGUUAACCGCAAGGUCAUGUUUUUUCAAAACGAGAUAUUGGUGGUAGAUUAAGACAAUUUAAUCC
Helianthus annuus (common sunflower) is the source of this 416-nucleotide long non-coding RNA. RefSeq lists it as uncharacterized. The transcript has 2 exons. The record is from RefSeq and is a predicted model, not a curated record. Lineage: Eukaryota; Viridiplantae; Streptophyta; Magnoliopsida; Asterales; Asteraceae.